GGAGCAGUAGGUCAGUCGUAGAGCUCCCGCUUCAUACGCGGGAAGACCUGGGUUCCAUUCCCUGCUGCUUCC
Toxocara canis (dog roundworm) is the source of this 72-nucleotide transfer RNA. It matches the Rfam family "tRNA". From Rfam's summary of the family: Transfer RNA (tRNA) molecules are approximately 80 nucleotides in length. Lineage: Eukaryota; Metazoa; Nematoda; Chromadorea; Rhabditida; Toxocaridae. The record is from Rfam.